CUUGUUCACUCCUAAAAUAAAACAUAAAGAUAUGUGUCUGAUUCGAAUUUUUAUUUAUGUAUUUUCUCAAUAAGAAAAAUAACAUUUAAGUUGCACAGUGUUGGCUUAUAAAUUAGUUUGUUUUCUAAUGUAAAGUGGGUUCAGCAUGAUUAGGUAACAAAUAAAAUAUACCUAAUCAAGCCAUUUUAACCCACUACACAUAAGAAAAGAAAAAACAAAUUGUUAAGCCCAACAGUACGGGUUUCUUUGUUUUUCUCUGAUUAUUUAUUUCCAAAGUUGACUUUUUUCUCCUGAAAGUAAGAUUUCUGUGAGGUCAUUUUAAGUCCUCGGAAAUUGCGAGAAUGAAGGAUUUUGCACCAUUUACCCCAGAGCUUCAGGGGGCCUUGAUCGGCCCCCAGACCCCUGGCCGUAUGACUACCUUCUCCAGCAUUGCGUACACAUCAAAAUUGUCUAGCUACGCCC
RNAcentral lists this long non-coding RNA (462 nucleotides) under Mytilus galloprovincialis (Mediterranean mussel). The record is from RNAcentral. Lineage: Eukaryota; Metazoa; Mollusca; Bivalvia; Mytilida; Mytilidae.